CAGUAUUUGGACGUAAUUCUUCUAGUAUCUUGCCAGCGCUUAACUGCGCGGCGAGUGCUAUUAGAAGUCCAUAAGUUCUUACACACAGUGUUUUUUGUUUGUGAAAAAAAUUUACUUUGGUCUGGAGCUAGAAAUAGUUUUGGGCCAGAGGUCAACCUAACUUCAAUUUAUAUUGAAUUGUUUUUAAUUUUAUUUGUCAAAUUAUUGAUAUUAAUCAAAAAUCUUCA
RNAcentral lists this unclassified non-coding RNA (227 nucleotides) under uncultured Pichia. Its description in RNAcentral is "sequence contains ITS1". Lineage: Eukaryota; Fungi; Ascomycota; Saccharomycetes; Saccharomycetales; Saccharomycetaceae. The record is from RNAcentral.